Molecule: ribosomal RNA, 250 nt
Filed under: uncultured bacterium
Lineage: Bacteria
Description: partial 16S ribosomal RNA
Rfam family: Bacterial small subunit ribosomal RNA
Source: RNAcentral
UACAGAGGGUGCGAGCGUUAAUCGGAAUUACUGGGCGUAAAGGGUGCGUAGGUGGUUAGAUAAGUUGGAUGUGAAAUACUCGGGCUUAACCUGGGAACUGCAUUCAAUACUGUUUAGCUAGAGUCUUGUAGAGGGAGGUGGAAUUUCCGGUGUAGCGGUGAAAUGCGUAGAUAUCGGAAGGAACAUCAGUGGCGAAGGCGACCUCCUGGACAAGUACUGACACUGAGGCACGAAAGCAUGGGGAGCAAAC